GAAAACCGGUCUCAGUUCGGAUCGCAGUCUGCAACUCGACUGCGUGAAGGUGGAGUCGCUAGUAAUCGCGGAUCAGCACGCCGCGGUGAAUACGUUCCCGGGCCUUGUACACACCGCCCGUCACACCAUGAGAGUCUGUAACACCCAAAGCCGGUGGGAUAACCUUUAUAGGAGUCAGCCGUCUAAGGUAGGACAGAUGAUUAGGGUGAAGUCGUAACAAGGUAUC
Molecule: ribosomal RNA, 226 nt
Filed under: uncultured bacterium
Lineage: Bacteria
Description: partial 16S ribosomal RNA
Rfam family: Bacterial small subunit ribosomal RNA
Source: RNAcentral